This is a non-coding RNA of Castor canadensis (American beaver), 1048 nucleotides long. Lineage: Eukaryota; Metazoa; Chordata; Mammalia; Rodentia; Castoridae. The record is from RefSeq and is a predicted model, not a curated record.
AUUCUGAAGCAUGAAUCCUCUUCUCUUUUCCUCACCGUCCAUUGCCUGGGGAAAGCCUUGGUUGCUCCACUCACACUUUGGAUGCACAAUGGGAGGAGUGGAAGACAAAACCUACAGCAUGGAUGAAGAAGGACAGAGGCGAGCGGUAUGGGAGGAGAAUUUGGAAAUGAUUGAGCUGCACAGUGAGGAAUGCAGACACGGGAAACACGGCUUCACCAUGGGGAUGAAGCCUCGGGGACCUGGGGAGUGUGGCGUGCAUUGUGUAGUCCGUGCUCCCUCUGCUUGGCACGUUGCAGAAUGGCCCCUUGCUUUACGAGUUCUUGUAGACUAGUCAGGAUUCAGGCAGGUGAGGAGUGGUUUUCAAAUCCAGAAGCAGAAGAAGUUGGAGAAAGUGUUCCAGGAACUUCUGUUUCAGCACGUCCCCAGUGGUAUGGGCUGCAGAGAGAAAGGCUCUGUGCUCCCGGGAAGAAUCAGGCGUGACGCCGUCCCUUCCCGCUCUUCAGUGCUGCAGCAACGCCAAGAAGGCAUCGAUGUUUCCUUUAGGAGAGUGCGGAGCGACAUUUUUCCAAGGACCGACCCUGCCAGAAGAAGCCCAGGCACUGCUGCUAGUGCCACAGGGGACGUCCACGUUCCUCCCGAUGAGGCUUGGCCACCCCGGGAGCCAUCUCUGCUGGUCUUGAUGAAAGCCUGCCUUCCUUCAUGUUCUGUAAGCCAGCUGGGGUAAAGAAUGGGGUGAGCCUGGCUCCCUAAAGAUGACCAGAGAUCGGGAUAACCACUGGGAUUGGCACCUGGGCAGCUGCCCCACUGUGUGAGCUCCUGACGGUGACAGGAAGGCAUGGAUUGAGGACAUCAUGUUUAGAGGAAGGACAUUGUCAUCAAAUUGACAAGCACACACGGUGUCGUAGCUAACACUUGAGUCAUUGAUGAUCCAACCUGUGAUGUGAAUUCUCUGACAUUUUCUACUUGUGACAUGGUACCACUGCUGUAAAAGUUGCCAUAAACAGAUUAUAUUACUGAAUCACCUAAAUAAAUUGUUGACUGUAUUUGG